RNAcentral lists this small nuclear RNA (339 nucleotides) under Castor canadensis (American beaver). Its description in RNAcentral is "7SK RNA (ENSCCNG00000008247.1)". It matches the Rfam family "7SK RNA". Rfam says of the family: 7SK was discovered as an abundant small nuclear RNA in the mid-70s but a possible function has only recently been suggested. Two independent studies have found that 7SK RNA binds the CDK9/cyclin T complex (known as elongation factor P-TEFb). P-TEFb activates transcription by phosphorylating the C-terminal domain of RNA polymerase II. Lineage: Eukaryota; Metazoa; Chordata; Mammalia; Rodentia; Castoridae. The record is from RNAcentral.
GGAUGUGAGGGCGAUCUGGCUGCGACAUCUGUCACCCCAUUGAUCGCCAGGGUUGAUUCGGCUGAUCUGGCUGGCUAGGCGGGUGUCCCCUUCCUCCCUCACCGCUCCAUGUGCGUCCCUCCCAAAGCUGCGCGCUCGGUCUAAGAGGACGACCAUCCCCGAUAGAGGAGGACUGUUCUUCGGUCAAGGGUAUAUGAGUAGCUGCGCUCCCCUGCUAGAACCUCCAAACAAGCUCUCAAAAUAUCUUAUUGUACUUUUACUUUUUUGCUGAAAGGAAGCAUUUUAUGGCUUCUCUUUGACAUAUCUGAAUUGCUGCUAUCACUAGUCUUGCUAUUGUUG